RNAcentral lists this ribosomal RNA (239 nucleotides) under uncultured Actinomycetales bacterium. RNAcentral's name for it is "partial 16S ribosomal RNA". It matches the Rfam family "Bacterial small subunit ribosomal RNA", at positions 91 to 334 of the family's 1533-position model. The record is from RNAcentral. Lineage: Bacteria; Bacillati; Actinomycetota; Actinomycetes; Actinomycetales.
UCGAGUGGCGAACGGGUGAGUAACACGUGGGUGAUCUGCCCUGCACUCUGGGAUAAGCCUGGGAAACUGGGUCUAAUACCGGAUAGGACCAUGCUUUAGUGUGUGUGGUGGAAAGGUUUUCGGUGUAGGAUGAGCCCGCGGCCUAUCAGCUUGUUGGUGGGGUAAUGGCCUACCAAGGCGGCGACGGGUAGCCGGACUGAGAGGUUGGUCGGCCACAUUGGGACUGAGAUACGGCCCAG